GGACAGUGCGAGCAGGGGGGCUGGGUAGUGCGGUGGGUGCGGGGGUUGUCUGAACGUGCGGCGCGGAGAGAGCUGGUGGGCGGUGUGGCGCGUGUGAUGUGACAUUCGGUGACGCAAUGGCGGGCGGGCAGGCGAGACGGUGAUGCGGGGGGACUACAGGGGAGACGGGAACUCCUGGUGUAGCGGUGAAAGGCGCAGAUAUCAGGAGGAACACCGGUGGCGAAGGCGGGUCUCAGGGUAGUAACUGACGCUGAGGAGCGAAAGCGUGGGUAGCGAACAGGAUUAGAUACCCUGGUAGUC
This 300-nucleotide ribosomal RNA is filed under the name uncultured Acidianus sp. Its description in RNAcentral is "bacterial SSU rRNA". The stretch from base 69 to 300 matches the Rfam family "Bacterial small subunit ribosomal RNA", at positions 564 to 795 of the family's 1533-position model. Lineage: Archaea; Thermoproteati; Thermoproteota; Thermoprotei; Sulfolobales; Sulfolobaceae. The record is from RNAcentral.